This 726-nucleotide long non-coding RNA is filed under the name Homo sapiens (human). RNAcentral's name for it is "HSALNT0298159". The record is from RNAcentral. Lineage: Eukaryota; Metazoa; Chordata; Mammalia; Primates; Hominidae.
AGUCCACCACCUCUACCCUCUUAACUCUUCCUUAGAAAUCCUACUGUCUGCAGCUGGGAAUGAAUGGAAUGAAGGAUCUCACUCUGUUACCCAGGGUGGAGUGCAGGGGCAUGAACACGGAUCACUGCAGCUUCGACUUCCUGGCUCAAGCAAUCCUUCCACUUCCUGGCUCAAGCAAUCCUUCCACCUCAGCCUCCUAGGUACUGGGAUUACACUAACUGCAUCCUGGGCAAUAUCCCCAGCUGAAAGAUUACGCUUCCCAGCCUUCCUUGCAGCUAGACGUAGCCAUAUGACAAAAUGACGCCCAAUGAAGCAUACAUAGAAAAGUCAUGUGAGACUUCUGGAAAAGCUUCUGUAAAAGUGAGGAGCAGACACCCUUUUCUUUUUCUUCUCCUUUCUCUUGCUGUUGGCCUGGAAUGUGGACCUGAUGGAUGGAGCUCUGGCAAUCAUCUUGGAGUAUGAAGUGACCUUAAGGAUGAACAGAAAAGAAAAUGAGCCUGGGCCUUUAAUGACACAGUGGAGCUGCUCCCAGCUUGGCUACCUUCCUCUUAGUCUGCUUUUAUAAGAAAAUAUAUAUAUAUCUUGUUUAAGCACAAAUAUUUUGAGUUUUUCUGCUGUUUGUUGCUAAAAGUAAUUCUAAUUGUUCCAUAAGCCUUCUAGCACUAUUGCAUUUUUAAAUUAUGCAUUUUUUGAUCAAAAAUUAAAUUGUAAUGUUAAAAAAUAAAA